AUUUCUUGUCUGAAAUAUAAAGACUAAAGUCAUCAUACGAGUACAUCAUACAUAGUAUUAAAGUUCGAAACCAAAUUUUGGAUGUUCGGAUGUUCAGAAAGUGACGUCACCCAAAAUUUUUUCUCUCUUGAUCUAUAUAGACGAAAAUCAAUUGGCCGAAUUCUUCAGUCUGGAAACAACCACGCAGUAGAGCGGACGUAUGAGAAUCGCGCUCCGCAAAUUUCGAGUACCGGGUUCUCUACCUCCUGGAUCCUGCGCUCCGGGUCCGUUUCCUGGUGCAACUCGACUUCCAGGACAAGCGCCCCGUAGUUUCUGCGCUCCAGUUCUGGCUGUCCAGGUCCUUAACCUGGCGACUUUUGACCAAGCGCUGCGUACUUUCUGCGCUCCAGGUCCGCUACCUGGUGAAACUCGACUUCCAGAACAAGCGCUCCGUAGUUUCUGCGUCUAAGGUCCACUACCUGGUGCAACUCGACUUCAGGGACAAGUGCUCCGUAGUUUCUACGCUCCAGGUCCGCUACCUGGUGAAGCUUGAAUUUCAGGAAAAGCGCUCCAUGGUUCCAGCGCUCCAGGUCCGCUACCUGAUGAAACUCGACUCUCGGAGGACAAGGAAGACGAGGAGAACAAGGUGGACGAAGAGAACGAGGAUUUCUGCACGGUCGUUAUCGGUGGGUGUUGGAGGUGAUCUGAGGUGGACAAGAAGAAGGACGAGGAAGACGUGGAGAACAAGGUGGGGGAGGAGGACGAGGAUUUGUGCUCGGUACAACCGAAGGUGGUUAUCGGUGGUCGUCGGUCGUCGUUGGAGGUGGUCGGAGGU
RNAcentral lists this long non-coding RNA (814 nucleotides) under Neodiprion pinetum (white pine sawfly). RNAcentral describes it as "uncharacterized LOC124216098". The record is from RNAcentral. Lineage: Eukaryota; Metazoa; Arthropoda; Insecta; Hymenoptera; Diprionidae.